This is a long non-coding RNA of Sarcophilus harrisii (Tasmanian devil), 2171 nucleotides long. The record is from Ensembl. Lineage: Eukaryota; Metazoa; Chordata; Mammalia; Dasyuromorphia; Dasyuridae.
GUUUCCUUCAAUCAUUAAAGCCACAUAAUAUAUUUCAUUCUGAUAUGAAGAAUUUUAUUUGGCCACUUCACAAACAUACAACAUUGAAUUCAAGAUGAAACAUUGAAUUACUCAGAUUAUUAUUUCCAGAAUUGAAUACUUUCAAUUUUUAAAAUUUAUCUUGUUAAUUAAGACCUGUUAUUUUUAUGUAUAUGGGGAAUCUCUUGAUGAGGAAAUUCCCCCCAUGAAUAACCAAUAUUGCACAUAUGGCUUUGUCUUAGAAUAUCCCUUAGGUAGAUAUUAAGAUGUUAAGUGACUUGCUCCUGAUCACUUUGCUAAUUUUGUCAGAGGCAGGACUUCAUCAGGUCUUCCAAACUAGCAUACUAUGCUGCCUCCAAAUUUAUUUAACUUACACGAAUCUUUCAAAAUGUUCUCAGACAAUAUGGAUUCAAGUGUAACAAAGAAGAAAAGAGAAGAACACCAUGAUUACCAGCUUCCUAUAUUUGGAGAUUAUCAUUUAAAAUAGCAAUUAUAUAUGUUCAUGUGGACUUAGGCAAGAAUGAGGACCAGUAUCUGGAGUUUACAAUGAGGUAGAAUUUGACCUAAUAUAAGAAAGAAUUUCCUAACAGUUUUAUCUGUCAGUAAUGCAGUGUUGUGCCCUUGAAGUUAGUGAGUUUCCCAUCACUAAUGAUGUUUAUGUAGAGGUUGGAUGCUCCCUUGUUCUAGGAGAGAUGGAUAGGUCAAAUCUGAGGUAACAUCUGAAUUUCUGGGGUCCUAAGGUUUGUAUGUAGAUGUACAGUGGGCUAAAGAAUCAGAUUUAAAUAGUGUUUGACCUAGGACUUAGGCAUGUAUUUAACAUUUUCUCUUACAGCACCGAAGAUAGGAUAGGGAUAGAUUUGUAUUAAUUUGUGGAAGACAUAACAUUUUGAGACUUCCUAGAAACUUGGGAAGGAGAAUCUGAGUUGGGAGACAUAUUUUUAAAUUAAAAAAUAUUAUUUGGAAAAGUUACCAGAAAGGAAUAUGAGAAAGGCCAGUAUAGAGAAGGGUGUAUAUUUGUAGAAGAAAAGUAAGUAGUCAAUAACACACAUACAUAAAAAGGUGAAAGUAACAGAACACGGUAAUAUUAAUUUAAAUGUAGACCAAACAUUUUUGACAGGGAGAAGAUUGUGUAAAUCUAUGUACAUUAUAAGUAUUCGCAUACCAAAAAAUCCUUCAAUAAGAAGUCACACUCAUAGUUCAAGCCAGAUUUGUAAGGGAAAGUCCAGAUUAUAUUGAGGCCAUCACAGUAAUGGAAGGAAUUUGAAUAGUAAUAGAGAAUCUGAAGUGGAAAGGAUUUCCAAUGGCCUCUAGUUCAACAUGUAUCUGAAAAAUCUUUUUUCAACUUUCUUGACAAGUGACCAUCUAGCCCAGGACUUUUUAAACCUCUUGUGUCCUUUACUCCUUUGGCAUCCUGGUAAAGCAUUAUGGAAAACAUCUCAGAAUGAUGUUUUUAAAUGCAUAAAAUAAAAUAUAUUCACUUCUAAAGGAUAUCAGUUAUACUGAAAUACAACCUAUUUUUAAAUAUGUAUAUUAUAUUUUGUACUAAAUUCAUGGCUCUUAAAUUAAGAGGCUCUGACUUAGGUCCCUCAUCAUUAGAAAUGUCUAGGGCUGUCUUAAUUUACAUUUGCUUUAUAGUUUACCAACUAUUUUGCUCACAGCAACUUUGUGACAGUAAUUUAUCUCCACUUCUAAAAUGAAAAAACUUGACAAGAGGGUAAUGUGACUUGCCCUAGAGUUAUAAUGGAGAAACUGCUUUAAAAAGCUAAUAUCAGUAGAUAAAGGGAAGAGGAUGGGAGAGAAUUCCUUUCUUGUACUUGGUGGACUUGAUAUUAUGUCAGGCUCCAUUCACAUACCACAACAAAAUAAAGAACUUUGAGGGGAUGAUGUAUGUAAUUAAGAAAUUAAAUGAACUCAGAAUUAAGACCUAUGAGAAAAGGUUAGAGGAUCCCAAUCCUCCAACCUCAGAGAGGUUUGAAAGAUAGUUUAGUUGAUCCUCAAAAGGAAAAGCAAUUCAAAUGGAGAAAGAUGACUAAUAGCUGUUGUUCUCCCAUUUCCAUUGAACAGCUUUAGCAAACAAGGCAAUGGAAAAGUGGCAAGAGAGUAUAUGACUUGGGCAAAUCACUUUCCUUCCUUUCUCUAGUCUGAUAUUUUUA